GCGGGCGCUGGUCGAGCACCUGGCGAUGCACCCCGCGACGGUGCGCCGCGUGUGCCUGCGGCUCGCGCGCCGGUUCGUCUCCGACUCCCCGCCC
RNAcentral lists this transfer RNA (94 nucleotides) under Mobilicoccus caccae. Its description in RNAcentral is "tRNA-Arg". Lineage: Bacteria; Bacillati; Actinomycetota; Actinomycetes; Micrococcales; Dermatophilaceae. The record is from RNAcentral.